AUUGAACGCUGGCGGCAGGCCUAACACAUGCAAGUCGAACGGUAACAGGAAGAAGCUUGCUUCUUUGCUGACGAGUGGCGGACGGGUGAGUAAUGUCUGGGAAACUGCCUGAUGGAGGGGGAUAACUACUGGAAACGGUAGCUAAUACCGCAUAAUGUCGCAAGACCAAAGAGGGGGACCUUCGGGCCCCUUGCCAUCGGAUGUGCCCAGAUGGGAUUAGCUAGUAGGUGGGGUAACGGCUCACCUAGGCGACGAUCCCUAGCUGGUCUGAGAGGAUGACCAGCCACACUGGAACUGAGACACGGUCCAGACUCCUACGGGAGGCAGCAGUCGGGAAUAUUGCACAAUGGGCGCAAGCCUGAUGCAGCUAUGCCGCGUGUAUGAAGAAGGCCUUCGGGUUGUAAAGUACUUUCAGCGGGGAGGAAGGGAGUAAAGUUAAUACCUUUGCUCAUUGACGCUACCCGCAGAAGAAGCACCGGCUAACUCCGUG
This 490-nucleotide ribosomal RNA is filed under the name uncultured bacterium. Its description in RNAcentral is "partial 16S ribosomal RNA". It matches the Rfam family "Bacterial small subunit ribosomal RNA", at positions 30 to 507 of the family's 1533-position model. The record is from RNAcentral.